UACGUAGGGUGCGAGCGUUGUCCGGAAUUAUUGGGCGUAAAGAGCUCGUAGGCGGUGUGUCACGUCGAUCGUGAAAACUUGGGGCUUAACUCUGAGCUUGCGGUCGAUACGGGCAUCACUGGAGUUCGGCAGGGGAGACUGGAAUUCCUGGUGUAGCGGUGAAAUGCGCAGAUAUCAGGAGGAACACCGGUGGCGAAGGCGGGUCUCUGGGCAGUAACUGACGCUGAGGAGCGAAAGCGUGGGGAGCGAACAGG
RNAcentral lists this ribosomal RNA (254 nucleotides) under uncultured bacterium. RNAcentral describes it as "partial 16S ribosomal RNA". It matches the Rfam family "Bacterial small subunit ribosomal RNA", at positions 524 to 776 of the family's 1533-position model. The record is from RNAcentral.